AGAGUUUGAUCCUGGCUCAGGAUGAACGCUAGCGGCAGGCCUAACACAUGCAAGUCGAGGGGUAUUAGGAGCUUGCUUCUGAGAGACCGGCGCACGGGUGAGUAACGCGUAUGCAAUCUACCUUUCACAAGAGAAUAGCCCGGAGAAAUCCGGAUUAAUGCUCUAUAGUUUAUAGAACUGGCAUCGGUUUUAUAAUAAAGAUUUAUCGGUGAAAGAUGAGCAUGCGUCUCAUUAGCUAGUUGGUGUGGUAACGGCAUACCAAGGCAAUGAUGAGUAGGGGUCCUGAGAGGGAGAUCCCCCACACUGGUACUGAGACACGGACCAGACUCCUACGGGAGGCAGCAGUGAGGAAUAUUGGUCAAUGGAGGCAACUCUGAACCAGCCAUGCCGCGUGCAGGAUGACGAUCCUAUGGAUUGUAAACUGCUUUUUGUACAGGAAGAAAUGCAAUUACGUGUA
This 457-nucleotide ribosomal RNA is filed under the name uncultured prokaryote. Its description in RNAcentral is "bacterial SSU rRNA". It matches the Rfam family "Bacterial small subunit ribosomal RNA", at positions 8 to 464 of the family's 1533-position model. The record is from RNAcentral.